AGACCCACCGCUCCGUGACGCUGGGCGCGCUGUCGGUGCCGCGCGUGGCGCCACUGCCCGGUUGCGCGAGAGUU
Molecule: small nucleolar RNA, 74 nt
Filed under: Trypanosoma cruzi strain CL Brener
Lineage: Eukaryota; Euglenozoa; Kinetoplastea; Trypanosomatida; Trypanosomatidae
Description: Trypanosomatid snoRNA TB11Cs4H3
Rfam family: Trypanosomatid snoRNA TB11Cs4H3
Source: Rfam by way of RNAcentral